GUCAGAACUUAGGGAAGUUUUUAUGAUACCUCACGCCGCGAUAAAAGUUGUUCCCUAAGUUCUUCGCCAGCCACCCCUCUCUUCGCACCAUGCCGCUCAUCCGGACCCUUCUUUGCUCGUUAGGGUUUACUCAUCUCGUUUAUUUCAGCAGCUGCGGCAAAAGGGGGAUGCAUCUUCUUCUCUCUCUUCUCCGAUGCCACAGACAGCGCCACCACCAAAAUACCAUUUCUCUGUCUUCACCUAUCAACCAUUUCCAAGGUUAUGACGAUGAUGAUGAAGAUGAUGCAUAUCUACUAAAAGAUGGUGGCGAGGGAAAUUUUAACCGUUGAAAACUAUACCAUGACUCACAAUCGUUAUUCGUAAAAAUAAAAAAAAAUCUCCAAGAAAAAUUUCAAAUCUUUUUUUUUUGGAAUCGUGCUUAUUUCAA
Amborella trichopoda is the source of this 427-nucleotide long non-coding RNA. RefSeq lists it as uncharacterized. NCBI's taxonomy places the organism in Eukaryota, Viridiplantae, Streptophyta, Magnoliopsida, Amborellales, Amborellaceae. The record is from RefSeq and is a predicted model, not a curated record.